UUGCUCAUGUCAGCAGCACAUAUACUAAAGCUGGAAUAAUACUGAGAAGAUUAGAAUGGCCCCUCUCAAGGAUGACACACAAAUUUGCGAAGCAUUCCACUUUGGC
This is a small nuclear RNA of Bison bison bison, 106 nucleotides long. NCBI's taxonomy places the organism in Eukaryota, Metazoa, Chordata, Mammalia, Artiodactyla, Bovidae. The record is from Ensembl.